Molecule: ribosomal RNA, 315 nt
Filed under: Triticum aestivum (bread wheat)
Lineage: Eukaryota; Viridiplantae; Streptophyta; Magnoliopsida; Poales; Poaceae
Description: partial small subunit ribosomal RNA
Source: RNAcentral
AUGAGGGGCAUUAUUUGGAACUUGAGAGGGUUCGAUCAACCAGACAGAAGAAGGCAGCUGAUCCAAUACAUCUAUGACCAAUGCCUUGAUUUUGUUGGGCUUCAGGAGACCAUUCGUACAACCUUCUCGCAGAUUGAAUUAGACUCCUUGGCGGGAGCUCUCACAUUCCACUGGGAGUGGGUUCCGGCUAAUGGUCACUCGGGGGGGAUCCUUGUUGGGGUAAAUAAAGACACAUUCGAUGUGAUAUCAUUCUCCAGGGGGGAAUUUUUCUUGGCAGUAGACCUGAUUCAACAUAAUAAUAACUUUUGGUGGUAG